This is a non-coding RNA of Acanthosepion pharaonis, 112 nucleotides long. NCBI's taxonomy places the organism in Eukaryota, Metazoa, Mollusca, Cephalopoda, Sepiida, Sepiidae. The record is from the annotation of a GenBank genome assembly.
UACGGCAACAUCACGUUGAAAUACUCGUUCCCGUACGAUUACGAAGUUAAGCGACGUUGAGCCUGGUUAGUAGCUAGAUUAGUAACCCUUUGGGAAUACUAAGUGCUGUAAG